CAUAUUGAUCUCCUUUGUCCCGGGGGGCAUUUUUCGGGGCUGGGGUGGCGUCUUCAUAGAAUGGCGAUUCACAGAGUGGGAGAAUGGACAGAGGAAGCUCUCUUCCUAGUAUUCUGGAACAGAAGAUAUAUCCAUAUGAAAUGCUGGUUGUAACCCACAGAGGGCGCAGUAAACUUCCUCCAGGUGUUGACAGGACCAGAUUAGAGAGGAAUUCCAGAGCUUAUUCGGAAUGUCCAUCACAGAAUUUGAUCGUCUGUCACUAUGGAAACGGAACGACCUGAAGAAGAAAGUGUCCCUUUUCUAACAUUUGGACAUUUGGACUUGGACACUGAACCCUUUGCCCUCCAGAGACGCCAGUAAUAUCCACUCUAAUCUAAUACGGAUGCUAUGCAGACA
RNAcentral lists this long non-coding RNA (396 nucleotides) under Sinocyclocheilus anshuiensis. Its description in RNAcentral is "lncRNA (ENSSANG00000040366.1)". Lineage: Eukaryota; Metazoa; Chordata; Actinopteri; Cypriniformes; Cyprinidae. The record is from RNAcentral.